UUGGCUCAGGGCUGUGAACUUUCCUGCUUAUUUAUAUACAAGCAAAGCAAACUGCUUCAACUGGACUUGUUUGGACAAGGACGCUAAACACAAGAGGAGCAGCCCCGAAACUCCGUCACUUGCCUUUGUCACCCCCUGGGCAGGGAGCGGGGUGGGGGCGGACCACAGUGACCCCCAGCCACACUCACUUUUCCCUGGACAGCCUUCUCCAGCAAAUCACCAUCAUGCCUCCCUGAAGCCCUGGGAACGGGCACACAGAAGUGGCAGAGGAGAUGGGGGUCACAAGGCAGUCAGGACUCCAGCCUUGAACUUCUCUCAGAUCUCCCCACCCUCCGUGGGUGCUGCUUAAGGUCAUAAGAACCUCCCCCUCCAAGGCCCCACGCACAUGGUGCCCUCAUGUGGAGGGGUGAAGAUUGGCAGGCACAGGUCUACAGGUGCUGAUGUGGGUGAGGCAUUUGUUGGAAACACUUCCCAAGGCGUCUUGAUUUUAUCACCAACAUUGUAACCGUCUUAAUUAAUGCUCGCUGCACCGCAGAAGACAAACCUGUAUUCCUUUGCCAUGCAGGCCGUGGGUCACCCUGUACCGUAGAUUUGCCCUAUCUGUGACUCUGUCUACACAGCCAAAGAGGCAAGCCCGCCCAGUGUCCCAGAAGGGUCCUAGGGUCUGCUCCCCAUCUGUGGCUACAGCAUCUCCUCUUGACCUUGGCCAUACACAUGAAUACCCUGGAAAGCUUUGCAAAAUGCCAGCAGCUGGUAACAGCCCAACAAUUCCAAGGCUGCAGCUUGGUUGUCGGCGGAGUUUCUAGACACCUUGGGGCAGUGCCAACAUGCAGCCACGGUCAGAAGCGUUGAUUCUAACCCUCCCCUGAACCAAAGGCUUUGAAUUGCAGCUGUUCUCAGAUUGGGAAGGCGGGAAUUAUGAUUCUUUGAGUGAGAUUUCUUUGCCUUUGCAGCCAUCCAGAGAAGCAAGAAGCUCCCAUGGCUCUCCCAGGAGCCCCUCUGCCCAGCUCCUGCACAACCAUGCCCGGCCACCAGCCAGUGCUCCCGCAGCUGUCAAUUCUAUGUACUCACUGCCACCUAUUAGGCAGGGGAGACGCCUGGUACAACACAGCAGCAGAGUGCUGGAGCCCAGGGAACACACACCUUUGUUUUUUGUUUGUUUGGUUUUGUUUUUGACAGGCAGAGUUAGACAGUGGGAGAGACAGAGAGAAAGGUCUUCCUUCCAUUGGUUCACCCCCUAAACGGCCGCUAUGGUCGGCGUGCUGCACCGAUCCGAAGCCAGUAGCCAGGAACUUCCUCCUGGUCUCCCAUGCGGAUGCAGGGCCCAAGGACCUGGGCCAUCCUCCACUGCACUCCCUGGCCACAGCAGAGAGCUGGCCUGGAAGAGGGGCAACUGGGAC
RNAcentral lists this long non-coding RNA (1400 nucleotides) under Oryctolagus cuniculus (rabbit). Its description in RNAcentral is "lncRNA (ENSOCUG00000030781.1)". Lineage: Eukaryota; Metazoa; Chordata; Mammalia; Lagomorpha; Leporidae. The record is from RNAcentral.